This 449-nucleotide ribosomal RNA is filed under the name Helcococcus sp. canine oral taxon 069. RNAcentral's name for it is "bacterial SSU rRNA". It matches the Rfam family "Bacterial small subunit ribosomal RNA", at positions 9 to 487 of the family's 1533-position model. The record is from RNAcentral. Lineage: Bacteria; Bacillati; Bacillota; Tissierellia; Tissierellales; Peptoniphilaceae.
GAGUUUGAUUAUGGCUCAGGACAAACGCUGGCGGCGUGCAUAACACAUGCAAGUCGAACGAAAUCUACAUGAUUUAGUGGCGAACGGGUGAGUAACACGUGAGAAACCUGCCUUACACAGAGGGAUAGCCGUUGGAAACGACGAUUAAUACCUCAUGACACCGUGACAUCGCAUGAUGAUGCGGUCAAAGAUUAAUCGGUGUAAGAUGGUCUCGCGCCUGAUUAGCUGGUUGGUGGGGUAACGGCCUACCAAGGCGACGAUCAGUAGCCGAUCUGAGAGGGUGGACGGCCACAUUGGGACUGAGACACGGCCCAAACUCCUACGGGAGGCAGCAGUGGGGAAUUUUGCACAAUGGGGGAAACCCUGAUGCAGCGACGCCGCGUGAACGAAGAAGGCCUUCGGGUUGUAAAGUUCUGUCCUUGGUGAAGAUAAUGACCGUACCAGNAGAG